Chiloscyllium plagiosum (whitespotted bambooshark) is the source of this 365-nucleotide non-coding RNA. Lineage: Eukaryota; Metazoa; Chordata; Chondrichthyes; Orectolobiformes; Hemiscylliidae. The record is from RefSeq and is a predicted model, not a curated record.
UGUUGUGCUUCCCUCAUUACAAUGGUGCCUACACUUUGAAACAUGCUUCAUCAGAUCUCAAGACCUUUUGAACAUCCUGAGGUCACUAUAUAAAGCACCCUGCAGUGACCCAGCUCGCAAUGAUUUCAACAGCACUCUCUGAUGACCUCAAAUCAGGAAGCCUUGCUGUGAAAACCUGACAGCGCACGGGAAGAUUCACCCAAACAAUAACAGCGUUUCCAUGGCCACUGAAUGAGGGCCAAUGGUCCCCACAGCUCUGCAAUCAAUGAUGCAACUUCCUGUUGAAAGGGAGCAUUGGCCAUUCAAGCAGCGCAUUCCAAAUCACAACAACACACCCUGUUUUAAUAAAGUCUUUCCUCUCCAUG